RNAcentral lists this ribosomal RNA (1328 nucleotides) under uncultured bacterium. Its description in RNAcentral is "bacterial SSU rRNA". It matches the Rfam family "Bacterial small subunit ribosomal RNA", at positions 40 to 1378 of the family's 1533-position model. The record is from RNAcentral.
CGGCGUGCCUAACACAUGCAAGUCGAACGAUGCACCUUACCGGAUUCUUUGGAUGAAAGUUUGGUGACUGAGUGGCGGACGGGUGAGUAACGCGUGGGUAACCUGCCCUGUACAGGGGGAUAACAGCUGGAAACGGCUGCCAAUACCGCAUAAGCGCACGAGGGGACAUCUCCUUGUGUGAAAAACUCCGGUGGUACAGGAUGGGCCCGCGUCUGAUUAGCUGGUUGGCAGGGUAACGGCCUACCAAGGCAACGAUCAGUAGCCGGUCUGAGAGGAUGAACGGCCACAUUGGAACUGAGACACGGUCCAAACUCCUACGGGAGGCAGCAGUGGGGAAUAUUGCACAAUGGGGGAAACCCUGAUGCAGCAACGCCGCGUGAGUGAAGAAGUAUUUCGGUAUGUAAAGCUCUAUCAGCAGGGAAGAUAAUGACGGUACCUGACUAAGAAGCUCCGGCUAAAUACGUGCCAGCAGCCGCGGUAAAACGUAGGUCACAAGCGUUGUCCGGAAUUACUGGGUGUAAAGGGAGCGCAGGCGGGAAGACAAGUUGGAAGUGAAAUCUAUGGGCUCAACCCAUAAACUGCUUUCAAAACUGUUUUUCUUGAGUAGUGCAGAGGUAGGCGGAAUUCCCGGUGUAGCGGUGGAAUGCGUAGAUAUCGGGAGGAACACCAGUGGCGAAGGCGGCCUACUGGGCACCAACUGACGCUGAGGCUCGAAAGUGUGGGUAGCAAACAGGAUUAGAUACCCUGGUAGUCCACACCGUAAACGAUGAUUACUAGGUGUUGGAGGAUUGACCCCUUCAGUGCCGCAGUUAACACAAUAAGUAAUCCACCUGGGGAGUACGACCGCAAGGUUGAAACUCAAAGGAAUUGACGGGGGCCCGCACAAGCAGUGGAGUAUGUGGUUUAAUUCGACGCAACGCGAAGAACCUUACCAAGUCUUGACAUCCCUUGACAGGCAUAGAAAUAUGUUUUCUCUUCGGAGCAAGGAGACAGGUGGUGCAUGGUUGUCGUCAGCUCGUGUCGUGAGAUGUUGGGUUAAGUCCCGCAACGAGCGCAACCCUUAUGGUCAGUUACUACGCAAGAGGACUCUGGCCAGACUGCCGUUGACAAAACGGAGGAAGGUGGGGAUGACGUCAAAUCAUCAUGCCCUUUAUGACUUGGGCUACACACGUACUACAAUGGCGUUAAACAAAGAGAAGCAAGACCGCGAGGUGGAGCAAAACUCAGAAACAACGUCCCAGUUCGGACUGCAGGCUGCAACUCGCCUGCACGAAGUCGGAAUUGCUAGUAAUCGUGGAUGAGCAUGCCACGGUGAAUACGUUCCCGGG